GUUUUAGUAUGUUUAAGAGAUUGGAUUAGAUCGGAAUGAAGAAAUCAAGGAAAGGAAGAUGUUGAUAGCCCAGAAGACGAAGAAAUUGGAGAAUAUUAACCCAUGAAACCCUUCGGAAUUUAACUCCCCAGAAGAAGGUCAAUCAGUUCAUAUUGAUUAUGAUGAACUUGCUAAGGUGAUGCAAAACAUUUGAAAUUACUACUUCACUAGUUUACUUGUUAGAAAAAAUG
This 230-nucleotide long non-coding RNA is filed under the name Nicotiana benthamiana. RNAcentral's name for it is "long non-coding RNA (NBEN_LNC017516)". Lineage: Eukaryota; Viridiplantae; Streptophyta; Magnoliopsida; Solanales; Solanaceae. The record is from RNAcentral.